This is an RNA transcript of Neoarius graeffei (lesser salmon catfish), 1287 nucleotides long. It is a transcript of the gene named mitochondrial ribosomal protein L32, with no coding region annotated. NCBI's taxonomy places the organism in Eukaryota, Metazoa, Chordata, Actinopteri, Siluriformes, Ariidae. The transcript has 6 exons. The record is from RefSeq and is a predicted model, not a curated record.
UUUUAAGCUAAGUGACCGUGAGGAUGUUGUAGUAUGUGCGUUGGGUUGAGGAUACGGUAUUAUGGCGCUGACAGGAUUUUUACGGUUUCUCAGACUUUCUUUACAACAACUGGAGUCCAGUUUAAUACAGACUGCAGGGUUUGACAGGAAUUUAUGUCCAGCUCUGGCAGUGCAUGGACCCAGCCUUCUUCCUCAACCACAGCACAUUAGAGAUGAUGACAGCUCUGAGCCCAGUUUCCUGGACAGCAUCUUCUGGAUGGCAGCACCUAAAAAGAGACGCACCAUCGAGGUGAAUCGCUGCAGGAGACGGAAUCCAAAUAAACUCCUUAAAGUCAAGAUGAACAUCGAGCCAUGUCUAGAGUGUGGGAACCUAAAACAGAAGCAUGUUCUCUGUGGGUUUUGCUAUGAGAAGGUCCAAAAGGAGACAUCCAGAAUUCGGAAGCAGAUUGAAAUCAUGGAAGGCCGUCCUCACAACGCACCCACUGCGGAGACUGUGGUUCUGUAUGAGAGCGAAGCUCCUCGUGACGUAGACAAGGAAAAGAGAAUAGUGGAGCGAAGCAGAAAACGUCCCUCCUGGUUUAACCUGUAAUUUACUGAGUUCCAGUCUCAGGCUGCUCACUUCAACCCCCUGUUCUACCCCAUCCUACCACCGCAGUUCUACCCCCCGACCUACUUCAUCAUGCCAGACCAGUUCUACCCCCCAUCCCACCCCGUUCUGAGAUCCGCCUCCUACUACCCUCCACCCGCAAUGAUGGGGAUGAACGAACGCCAUGUCCCGUCCGUCCAGGAGGAGAUUCUGGGAGGAAACGCUGUGUCUCCUGUGACACCACCUGAAGGUGGAUGUGGAGACAAUGGCUGUGUGAUCACUGCUCAGGCUCAUGUCCCUGACAUGCUCACACUCGAACCACCAGCACCAGCUGAAUCAGAGCCCGAACCUCAACCCACCUCCAGUCUGCCACCUGAAACUGUGGGCAUUGAGGAGCCUUUGUCCUCCAGAACCCCAAGUCCAAAGGCACUGAUGUGGGGCGAGAGAAUGGACAGCGUCGACCCAAUCCCAUCCAGACCCCCAACUCCAAUGUUACUCCCUUGGGGAGAACUAAUAGAGGAAAUGGGGUUCCAAAAGGAUGAGGGGCAGGUGGAUGACAUGCUGGAGGCAAAGUAGAAGGUUGAGGAGAAGGAGACGGGUGCAGUGGUCAGGGAGCUCAGUCGUCCCUCAGUCACAUCGACACGCCCUGACUGGAAAUGAGAAACUUUUGCAAAAAUAAACUCAAUUGAAAAAAGCUGCAC